GUUAUUACUUGUUUGUAUUUAUAUCUCCCAUCUAGACUGUCAUUUACCUGUAGUUAGGGACCACAGAUUCUCAUUUUUAUUUCCACAGUUUCUGAAAAAGUGUGUGAAGCAUGCUCAGAAUCAAUAAGCUUCCACUUAAUAAAUGAGAAAGGAGUGAACUCAUCAGAAUCCCAGAGAUUGCUGAAAAAAAUUACCACGGUCGAGAAUCUGCUGCAUCAAAGCUCUGGUGGAAUAAACAGGGGAAGAAAAAUCUCAAAGGUUCACAGCCAGGUUUUAGAGAUGAAGGGCAGGAUGCUGGGCUGUACUCCUGCACAAACUUUCAACUUGUGCACUUGGAAAGCUGUGUUCUUUCCAUCAAAGGGCAGAGACUCUAACAGGUAGGAACUUUGACUUGCACUGUACAACAGAGCUGCCAAGGAUGAUGUCAUGACCCUUGUAAACGUC
Molecule: long non-coding RNA, 444 nt
Filed under: Urocitellus parryii (Arctic ground squirrel)
Lineage: Eukaryota; Metazoa; Chordata; Mammalia; Rodentia; Sciuridae
Description: lncRNA (ENSUPAG00010019439.1)
Source: RNAcentral